This 376-nucleotide unclassified non-coding RNA is filed under the name fungal sp. Its description in RNAcentral is "partial internal transcribed spacer region". The stretch from base 1 to 46 matches the Rfam family "Eukaryotic small subunit ribosomal RNA", at positions 1786 to 1831 of the family's 1831-position model. The record is from RNAcentral. Lineage: Eukaryota; Fungi.
AAGUCGUAACAAGGUUUCCGUAGGUGAACCUGCGGAAGGAUCAUUAUCACGUAUCCACGUAUAAACCAAUCGCGAACUGUCCUUCACCUCUUGGAUAAGCGAGUCAGUUUUUGUGUAUCAAACGCUAUGCAGUCUUUCUGAGUGAUUAAGACUGUGUUCGGUACGCCACAAUCGGGUUAUCUCCGGAUUCCCCGAUUGUACUUGCUUACUCUGGAGUGUAUUUUUAAUCACUUAUUCUAUUAACCAUUAUAACCUUUUCUUUUAUAACCUUUGAACUAACUUUAUUUCUUACUCUCCGGAGAAGAAAUUCAUUACGAAACAAAGAACAACUCUUAGCAACGGAUAUCUUGGUUCUCGUAACGAUGAAAAACGCAGC